Molecule: long non-coding RNA, 421 nt
Organism: Eptesicus fuscus (big brown bat)
Lineage: Eukaryota; Metazoa; Chordata; Mammalia; Chiroptera; Vespertilionidae
Exons: 3
Source: RefSeq, a predicted model, not a curated record
GGGGGGGGCAUCUACGGUUCAGCCUGCACACUGGGAUUGUUAGAAGCUCCACAGUUGAUUCUCAAGUGCAGUAAGGAGAGUGAGCCCAGAUCUCCAUCUGGAAAGGUGCUAGAAGAAUGAAGACAGUUUGAGUGGGGUGAAUGAAGGCUGAUGAAGACCUGCCCCUCCUUUGCUGUCGCAAGGCAGUGAGGAGGUCUCCGGUGCGGUGCGUGCAGGAGCUCCCAAGAGUGACUUUUCCUGUUCGCGUCUUUCCGCCUUAGGGGGACUGAGCGAGCCAAAAGGGGAGUGCUUGUGUCUGGGGCUCAGGGACCCACGGCGCAGUGCCAUGGGAACCGUUAGCCAUUGCUUGAAAAAUUACUUUAAUAAAGUCCGACAACUCCCGAGGUGGGGGAGGAAAGGCAGCGGCGGCGGCUGGGGACGG